GGAUUGUAGCUCAGUGGUAGAGUGCUUGCUUCACAUGUAGAAAGCACUGGGUUUGAUUCUCAGCACCA
RNAcentral lists this transfer RNA (68 nucleotides) under Marmota monax (woodchuck). RNAcentral describes it as "tRNA.Val". The stretch from base 5 to 65 matches the Rfam family "tRNA", at positions 6 to 65 of the family's 71-position model. Rfam says of the family: Transfer RNA (tRNA) molecules are approximately 80 nucleotides in length. Their secondary structure includes four short double-helical elements and three loops (D, anti-codon, and T loops). Lineage: Eukaryota; Metazoa; Chordata; Mammalia; Rodentia; Sciuridae. The record is from RNAcentral.